CUCGUAUCGGUUUAGCUCCAAAUUUUAGUGCCUCAUAAUUUGUGGGGUUCCUACACAGAAUAAACAAGAAUUUUUUUGCAUUUAAUUAAUUAAUAAAAACUAAAUAAAAUAAUUAAAAAUAAAAAUCAUCCAAAUUAAAAUUAUACAAUCUAAAUAAAUUAAACUAAGUAAAAUUUCAAAAUAUUUAAUCAAAAUCAGAUUCCAAUUGAUCCCAUACAAUGAUCGAGUCUAUCCCACGACCCGCAACCUCCUCGGUGGCUUACCUCCUCGCGGAUUGGGUCUGGUUGCUUUGGCUCGGGUUGCAAAAUUGGAUGCCUCUGAUGGAUGGUUGUUUCGGUAGGAACACGUUGUCAAAGUUGUGGUCUAACUCUUCUCCUUCUUCCUUAGCAUCCAAUUCUCCUUCCUCCUCCCCUUCCUCAUAUUUGGCUUGCACGAAAAAUCGCGUGGAAGGGUAUCAGUUCGGUGACGGAUUAGGUACGUAGAUACCAUACCUCUGAGCGUAGUCAAUGCCCACCGGUGUCAUUACUUUUAUCCAUUGGAUUACCCACUCUAUGUCAAUCAUAUCACUAGACCCAUGGCUCGGUUCCUCUUCUCCUUACUCUUCCGCUUCAAAGAUUUCGAGACAUCCAUUUUGUUUUUUUGAUUUUUUUAAUUCUUUGAUUUGCUUCCUUUGAAGCUUGAUGUAUUGAGUGUAGAGUAAUUACUGAUGAGGAUCCUCAUCAGCUUUACAAACUGCUCCGUUGAGGAAAUGGGAACCUUCGCCUCUUUGCAUAGGGAAGUCACUAGGUACGGUAAAAAUAUCCCAACC
RNAcentral lists this long non-coding RNA (808 nucleotides) under Gossypium raimondii (Peruvian cotton). RNAcentral's name for it is "long non-coding RNA (GRAI_LNC004685)". The record is from RNAcentral. Lineage: Eukaryota; Viridiplantae; Streptophyta; Magnoliopsida; Malvales; Malvaceae.